RNAcentral lists this ribosomal RNA (493 nucleotides) under uncultured bacterium. RNAcentral describes it as "partial 16S ribosomal RNA". It matches the Rfam family "Bacterial small subunit ribosomal RNA", at positions 29 to 507 of the family's 1533-position model. The record is from RNAcentral.
AACGAACGCUGGCGGCGCGUCUUAAACAUGCAAGUCGAACGGCAGGAAGGGGCUUGCCCCUUCUGAGAGUGGCGGACUGGUGAGUAACACGUGGGUGACAUACCUUUUAGUUGGGGAUAGCUAUUAGAAAUAGUAGGUAAUACCGAAUGUGACCGUACCUGUUAGAGGGGUACGAGGAAAGGAGCUAAGGCUUCGCUAAAAGAAUGGCUCGCGGCCCAUUAUGCUCGUUGGUGAGGUAACGGCCCACCAAGGCGAUGAUGGGUAUCCGGCCUGAGAGGGUGAACGGACACAUUGGGACUGAGAUACGGCCCAGACUUCUACGGGAGGCAGCAGUUAAGAAUAUUCCGCAAUGGACGAAAGUCUGACGGAGCGACGCCGCGUGGAUGAAGAAGGCCGAAAGGUUGUAAAAUCCUUUUAAGCCUGAUGAAUAAGCACAGUAGGGAAUGAUUGUGCGGUGACCGUAGGGCUUGAAUAAGCACCGGCUAAUUACGUG